UAAUCACGUCAAGCGGACAUGGAGCGCAUCCCACUCCCACACCACGCCACCCUUUGUCUUCUCAAACUACAACUUGAGCCGUUUAAACUUUUUAAAAUCAAAGCAGUUCGGCCAGAUUUGCAUACCACUGCACCAGCUCAGAGUGCACGUUAAUGGCAUGCCGGGGAGCGUCUGUGACUGGAGCUGACGGUGGACGGAAAACAGACCCUCUCUCCCACGCCGCGUUUCACCACCGCACCUGAACUUUUUCCUGACCCAAGCCGAGGCCCAGAGAGUCGAGUGUGAAGUUAUUUGGGGUCAAAAACAAGGAGAGGAUGGAGACUACACAACCAAUUACGAACAUAGCUAAACCCCCGUUUUCAGCUGGGAGAGUUUUGGAUACUUUUUAGGAUGGGUGUUUGUUGUUUUCAGCAGUUUCAAGUUUAAAAGUUUAUUCGCCACUGCGCAGGAUUCAACAGGUGUAAAACAGUAGAGUGGAAUUCUUGAUUUGAGAGCUAGUUCCAAUAAUCAGUGAUAAUACUAUAGAAAAUAACCGAACAUAUAAUACAAAAUACAAUCAAGAAUAAAAACCACACAAGAUGUUUAGCCUAUUACAGCAUUUGGUUAGUUUCUUUGUUUAUACUUUUUCUGAGUUAGUUCUUCAGGUAUAUCAAACUCCCAACAUUCCCCGGCCGCCAAGAGGACUUGGGAGCUGUAGACCUCUCCACACCCUCUCUCUUUGGGUGUUCGCCAGACGGUGGUGGCUAUAGGCUACAUAUCUCCCCACAAUGUUGACAUUUGAAGCUCUUAACAGCGAGCCUUGGGUUACCGAUACACUCAGCAGAAGAUAACUCUUUCUCAGGGGUUUACAUUGACCAACAUCAAGGCUAAUGCGAAAUUCAACGCCUUAAGCUGGCUUGGCGUCCAAGCUAAGACAAAGAAGCCUCGGUGGAUCUCGCUAUACACGACUACACGGACUGACUUCUGUUCUGCUGGUUUGUUUCAGUACGUAUUGUAGAAAUAAAAUUGUAUUAAUGUUGACUUUUUGUUGUAAUACUUUUAAAUGUAUUUCAAUUGCCACUUUUGAUAAGUUAACGUUAUAUUUAGUGCUUUGAAGAGCUGAUUAUAAACAUUUUAGGGUAAGAACAAGAGACUAAACUUCCUAAUUUGACCUCAGAGCAAUAAUAAUGCUGUAUAAUAAUAAUAAUAACAAUAAUAAUAAUAUUAACAAUAAUAGUAGGCCUACACAUUACCAAUGGUACAUUUAAUUUAACUAGCCUCUGGCAAGCUAAAACUAAAACUAACCGCUCAAAGUCAUUUUGAACAUAUUUAUAGACUUAUCGUUAUUACACAUUUUAUAUUGUAUGCUACAUUAAUGUUCAAUAACAGCCUUAUAGCCUAAAGUCAGUCUUUCGUGGACAGGAUGGUGAUCUGUUAAUGUUUAACUUAGUUCUUGAUUGUUCUUUGUCCCUUCUCUGUUUAAGGCGCCCAUUCAACAAUGUGGACAACUCAUUCAUGCACAAUAGCCUGAUAUUUGCCUUCUAAAACUUUGCAUGUGUGGCUCACAAGACCAGACAUGGGUUAACAUGCACAUAAAUUGUUAAUAAAAAUUUAUUUUUACAAAAUA
Molecule: long non-coding RNA, 1606 nt
Organism: Salvelinus sp. IW2-2015
Lineage: Eukaryota; Metazoa; Chordata; Actinopteri; Salmoniformes; Salmonidae
Source: RefSeq, a predicted model, not a curated record